AGCGAACGCUGGCGGCAGGCCUAACACAUGCAAGUCGAACGAACUCUUCGGAGUUAGUGGCGGACGGGUGAGUAACACGUGGGAACGUGCCUUUUGGUUCGGAAUAACUCAGGGAAACUUGUGCUAAUACCGAAUGUGCCCUUCGGGGGAAAGAUUUAUCGCCAUUAGAGCGGCCCGCGUCUGAUUAGCUAGUUGGUGAGGUAACGGCUCACCAAGGCGACGAUCAGUAGCUGGUCUGAGAGGAUGACCAGCCACACUGGGACUGAGACACGGCCCAGACCCCGCGGGGGGGAGGCGGGGGGAAUUUUGGGAAAAGGGGGAAAGGCUGACAGAACCCUGCCCGGGGAAAGAAGGAGGUUUUAGGAAUUAAAAAUUUCUUCCCCGGGGGCGAAAAAGAAGGUGACCGGAAAAAAAGCCCCGGGAAAACUCCGUC
RNAcentral lists this ribosomal RNA (433 nucleotides) under uncultured bacterium. Its description in RNAcentral is "partial 16S ribosomal RNA". It matches the Rfam family "Bacterial small subunit ribosomal RNA", at positions 29 to 507 of the family's 1533-position model. The record is from RNAcentral.